AGUUCAUUCCACGACGAUUGAGGACUUGCUAUGUACCAAAUGCUAAUCUAGUCACUUGUUAUAGCUGGACAACACAAGUUCCCUCUAUAAAUUCUGUCGUAACUAAAAAGAGUGACAUCCUGACGACUGCCAGUGUCCCUGGCGCUUUUCUAAGAGUAUGUGAUAACACCAGAGGGAAAGUGACUUUACAGCUGUUUUUAACAACGGCUUUAAUAUUUUCCUGUUCACUAAUUCAGAAGCCAAAUGUUUUUUUUUUUUAAUUUCACAACAUUUUAAAAAGGAAAAAUCAGCCAAGGACUCCCAAGACCACGUUUUCAGCUGAAAGGAGAUUUGCCCCAAACAAACUUGAAAGCUGUCGUCACAGUUCCAGAUGCAAUACAGACGCACACCUACUGUGUGGGUCAGUACAGCUGGCCAGUGGACUCUCAGUGGCUCUGGACCACCCAUCUCUCCAUCACUGCCCAACCUGGCGAUGGAUGCCUCUCCAAGUUUUAAGAUUUUAGGAAUGAAUACGGAGACCAAAAGCCACAGAAAUAAUAUAAUGCCCAAUUAUACAGAUUUAUAAAACUGCUAAACUGAAACUAUCUGUGUAUGCCAGUUUUAAAAAUUAGUUAAAAAGGUCAGACUUCAAAAAAAAAUUAAAACUAAAAAGGAAUUCUUAGUAAA
Molecule: long non-coding RNA, 666 nt
Organism: Rattus norvegicus (Norway rat)
Lineage: Eukaryota; Metazoa; Chordata; Mammalia; Rodentia; Muridae
Source: RefSeq, a predicted model, not a curated record